UACGUAGGGUGCAAGCGUUUGUCCGGAAUUAUUGGGCGUAAAGAGCUCGUAGGCGGUCUGUCGCGUCGGCUGUGAAAACUCGGGGCUCAACCCCGAGCCUGCAGUCGAUACGGGCAGACUAGAGUGCGGUAGGGGAGACUGGAAUUCCUGGUGUAGCGGUGAAAUGCGCAGAUAUCAGGAGGAACACCGAUGGCGAAGGCAGGUCUCUGGGCAUUAACUGACGCUGAGGAGCGAAAGCAUGGGGAGCGAACAGG
Molecule: ribosomal RNA, 254 nt
Filed under: uncultured bacterium
Lineage: Bacteria
Description: partial 16S ribosomal RNA
Rfam family: Bacterial small subunit ribosomal RNA
Source: RNAcentral